RNAcentral lists this ribosomal RNA (492 nucleotides) under uncultured bacterium. Its description in RNAcentral is "partial 16S ribosomal RNA". It matches the Rfam family "Bacterial small subunit ribosomal RNA", at positions 28 to 507 of the family's 1533-position model. The record is from RNAcentral.
GGUGAACGCUGGCGGUAGGCUUAACACAUGCAAGUCGAACGGCAGCACAGUAAGAGCUUGGUGUUCCGGGUGGCGAGUGGCGGACGGGUGAGGUAUACAGCGGAAUCUACUCUUUCGUGGGGGUUCACGAAGGGAAACCUACGCCAAUACAGCAUCCGAUCCUCGGGUGAAGGGGGUGGAUCUUCGGACCUUGUGCGGUUGGAUGAGCGGAUGUCGGGUUUGUUAGUUGGCGGGGUACAGGCCCACGAAGUGGACGAUCCGUAGCUGGGCUGGGAGGAUGGCCAGCGACACUGGAACUGGGACACCGGCCAGACGCCUACGGGAGGCAGCAGUGGGGAAUAUUGGACAAUGGGCGCAAGCCUGAUCCAGCCAUACCGCGUGGGUGAAGAAGGCCUUCCGGUUGUAAAGCCCUUUUGUUGGGAAAGAAAAGCAGCAGGUUAAUACCCCGCUGUUCUGACGGUACCCAAAGAAUAAGCACCGGCUAACUUCGUG